Carassius auratus (goldfish) is the source of this 2436-nucleotide long non-coding RNA. NCBI's taxonomy places the organism in Eukaryota, Metazoa, Chordata, Actinopteri, Cypriniformes, Cyprinidae. The record is from Ensembl.
AUGAUGUUUAGAUGCUAUGUCUGUAAAUCACUGUUUGCUACAAUAGCUAAAUUAAUUCGACACCUAAAACUUGUACAUGGUUUAUAUCCUGGUAAGAAAUUUGGUCUGGUUUGUGAUCAGGAUGGUUGUUCCUUGCAAUUUAAAAGUUAUGAAGGGUUUAGAAAACAUUUAACUAGAUUUCAUUUGAGGGCUGUAGCAUCAAGCAGUGAAACUGUAUCUUUACAAAAUCAGCAAGCUCCAGAUCUCAAUGAAGCAGUAUCACUUGUUGUGUCUGACACAGAGCAAAGAUUACAUGAUGCGAGUUUGCAUGAAUGUUCUUCUGAUUCAAGGGAUAGUUCGAGGGAAAGGUGUGCAUCAAUAAUAGCCAAAUUACAGGGCAAUGGUGUUGCAAACAGUGUAAUCAUGUCAGUUGUUGAAAGCAUGGAGGAUUUUGUUAAUGAUUUCCAUACAAGUUUAAGGGAAAAUGUUUUAAAUGUUGUGCCUGUUGACAGCACAAGUAGAAGUUCAGUUGAAGAAGUUUUUAAUGGUUUUAAUAAUCCAUUCUCUGAUUUUAAUACAGAUACAAAAUGGAGAAAAUAUUUCAGUGAGAAAUGGGGGGUUGUUGAACCUAUUGAAAUACACUUAGGUGUCAGAUACGAUUCAAGAAGAAAUAAAAUCUCUGGGAUGUAUGAACAGACAACAGUUAAUGACACUUUCAUAUAUAUCCCUCUUCUGAAGACUCUUGAGUUCAUUUUUAGGAAUGAUAAAGUGUGUAAUCUUAUCCAAGAGGAACGGCAAAGUGACAUGUAUUGCGAUUUUUGUGAUGGACAGUAUUACAAAAAACAUCCUUUGUACUCCAUCCACAGCAAUGCACUUCAGAUCCAAAUUUACUAUGACGAUUUUGAAACCGCGAACCCAUUAGGAUCUAAAGCAGGAGUUCAUAAACUUGGCUGUUUAUAUUUUGUACUUCGUAACCUGCCAGCACACAUUAACUCUUCCUUAAUGAACAUACAUCUAAUUUCUUUGUUCCAUUCUGAAGAUGGAAAAAAGUAUGGCAUGGACAAAAUACUUGGCCCAUUGGUUGAUGAUGUGAAAGUACUUGAGAAGAAGGGAUUGAUGGUGUCAUUUUCUGAGGAGCCCAUCUUUGGUACUAUUUCGCAAAUUACCGGUGAUAACCUAGGUCUAAAUAGUAUUCUUGGUUAUGUUGAAUCUUUUUCUGCAAAACAUUACUGCAGACUCUGUCUCACUGACAAGGUGUUAGCACAGGAAGUAUUUAGUGAGGAUGAUCCACGGAUGAUAUUGCGUAAUAGAAAUCUAAAUGAGGAGCAUUACAAGUAUCUUGCUGACAACCCCAAUGAAAACUCAUGUUAUGGUGUUAAAAGAAAUUCUAUACUCAAUACCUUGACUUACUUUAAUGUAUCUGAGAACUUUGUGCUGGAUAUUAUGCAUGAUAUCCUGGAGGGAGUUGCACAGUAUGAAGUGAAACUGCUUUUUGAAUAUAUGAGUUGCAAUCUAAUUUCUGGUGAUUCCAUUCCUCAAAGAUUGUAUGCCUUCAACUAUGGCUUUUUAGAAAGAAAUAACCGCCCAACCAAGGUCAACCUUCAACAAGCAGGAAACAACAUUGGUCUCAAUGCAAGUCAGACAUGGUGUCUCAUUAAGAACAUCCCUCUCAUAUUUGGAGAUGUAGUCCCAGUGGGAGAUAAGCACUGGCAUUUGAUGUUGCUGCUCUUACAUAUUGUUAAUAUUAUCUUUUCUCCUUGCAUCUCUGAAGGAAUGAUAAUAUUUUUGAAGCAUCUGAUAAAAGAGCAUCAUCAGUUGUUUAAGGAUUUGUAUCCUAGGAAUCUAAUUCCAAAACACCACCUUAUGAUUCACUACCCUGAAUGCAUCAGACAAAUUGGCCCAUUGAUUCAUGUAUGGACCAUGAGGUAUGAGGCAAAACACAGGUUUUUUAAGAAAAAUCUAAAAAAUUUCAAAAACCUGACCAAAUCGCUUGCAAAAAAACACCAGCUAGCCAUUGCCUAUCACUGGGAGUCAUGUACUAUCAGGGGUAUUGAGUCUGGGCCUGUUUCAAAUGAGCUGUUGUCUGACCUUGAAAACUCAGAUUUUAUUUCAGAGCAACUCCAGAUUGAUAUCUCUAGCGAGGUAAUGGUCACACCGUGGGUAAAGUGUCAAGGUACUGAGUAUCGCAGUGGUCUUGUUGUUUUCUUAGAGUGUGUUGAUGAUGCACCUGUUUUUGGAAAGAUUGUUAAAAUUUUUAUUAAGGAUGGAAUUUAUUUUUUGGUAUCGUGUAUGGAAUCAGAGUUUAUUGAACACCUUCAUGCUUUCAGUGUUGUUGAACAAGAGCAUUGUCUUGUACUCAAAAAACCUGAGGAAUUGAUGUACUACAAGCCAUUUGAUUUACAAAUGUCCUAUGGCAAUGACCAUCUUUUUUACAUUGUCGUGGACUGUUAUUUGUAA